Molecule: ribosomal RNA, 468 nt
Filed under: uncultured bacterium
Lineage: Bacteria
Description: partial 16S ribosomal RNA
Rfam family: Bacterial small subunit ribosomal RNA
Source: RNAcentral
GACGAACGCUGGCGGCGUGCUUAACACAUGCAAGUCGAACGGAAAGGCCCUGCUUUUGUGGGGUGCUCGAGUGGCGAACGGGUGAGUAACACGUGAGUAACCUGCCCUUGACUUUGGGAUAACUUCAGGAAACUGGGGCUAAUACCGGAUAGGAGCUCCUGCUGCAUGGUGGGGGUUGGAAAGUUUCGGCGGUUGGGGAUGGACUCGCGGCUUAUCAGCUUGUUGGUGGGGUAGUGGCUUACCAAGGCGUUGGCGGGUAGGCGGCCUGAGAGGGUGACCGGGCCACGUGGGACCGGGAUACGGGCCGGACCACUGCGGGAGGGAGGAGUGGGGGAGCAUGCCCGAUGGGGCGAAGCCGGGUGCAGGAAGGGCGCCUGCGGGAUGAAGGCCUUUGGGGUGAAAACCGCUUUCGCCUGUGACGAAGCGUGAGUGACGGUAAUGGGUAAAGAAGCACCGGCUAACUACGUG